Molecule: non-coding RNA, 196 nt
Organism: Erythranthe guttata (spotted monkey flower)
Lineage: Eukaryota; Viridiplantae; Streptophyta; Magnoliopsida; Lamiales; Phrymaceae
Source: Rfam
AUACCUUUCUCGGCCUUUUGGCUAAGAUCAAGUGUAGUAUCUGUUCUUAUCAGUUUAAUAUCUGAUAUGUGGGCCAUUGGCUCACACGAUAUUAAAUUUAUUUUUUAAGGGGGAAGACUCAUCAAGGCAGCUUGCUGUCUGGGUCUUCAAGCGUCGCCCAUGCGUUGCACUACAGCAUAGGCCCGGCGCACCCCAC